GGGGGAAACUGAAACCUCCCUGACCCUGUGGUUCCUGUAAGGAACCACAGGAAUCAACAUCAUUAUCACCUCUCCUUGGUUUGCAGACAUUAUUUCUGAGUCAUGUGAAUGAACUAGAAACCUUAAAUAGGAAGUCAGAAGGGAAGCUGGGGAGGACAGUGGGGACCAGGUUGAAAGAUGAUAUUGACUAUUUGUACUUUUCAAUUAGCACAGGUGCAAUGCUUCAGGAUUCUUGGCCAAAAAAUGAUAUGAAAAUGAUUGGACUGACCUGCUCUUUCUAGGGUAACAGCCAUUCUUCUAGGUCUUGCCACUAUUUUCUUCCUCCUGGAUUCUUCCAAGAGCCUAUUCUCUGCCUUCUACCAACCUUAUUUCUCAGUAUCCAUUCUCUCACUGAAGGAGAAGAGAAGAUUGGCCUCAGACACUUUCGUCUUCAGACCUGUGCCUCUCCUUUGAGGAUCCCUUCCCCGAAGCUGCCAAGGAGAACCUUCCCUCACACUGUUCCUCCCUUG
Molecule: long non-coding RNA, 509 nt
Organism: Symphalangus syndactylus (siamang)
Lineage: Eukaryota; Metazoa; Chordata; Mammalia; Primates; Hylobatidae
Source: RefSeq, a predicted model, not a curated record